GUUGCGUUACUUAACUCAUGCAUUCAGGUUUUUCCUUUAAUAUGUCAAUUGUGUGUAUAUUUGAACUGCAACGUUGCACUCAGCGUUCCUAAAUUCAAAGCUGAGUCAUCAGCUAACACUGGCAAAUAUAAUUCAUGUGACACUGACUGUUGCAGAGUGCAGCACUUUCCAUUAGGCAAAAGAAAAUAUCAUUCUGUAUGUUUCAUCUAUGUUUUUUUUUUUUUUUUCAACUGGACCAGUGAAAUGCAAUUAAGUUGUAAAAAUACACAAACAGGAAAUUGGAGCUGAAAUUUCACUUCAAACUCAAUGAAAUGUGGCAGUUACAGUGAAAGAGGUACAGAGUGAGGAACAAAAGAAGGCAGAGGGAAGGCGGGGGAGAGCUCCUUGCUCCUUGACUUCAAUCAGUGCCUGUUGUUUGCCAACAGCUACACUCUCCACCCUGCUUCACACCGGAGGUUGACAGGGUCAAUCCAAUUGCAGCUCAGGCUUUGGCCUCUUUCAUUCUCCUUUCAUACAGGAGAUAAGCACAUGACGUAGAUCUAUUGAAUGCCCACGUUCAAGCCAUGUUUGACCCCAUUCAUAUGAGACUGCUGUCACAGGUUAAUCUUGUGCUGUUGUCAGUGUUUGUAGAGGCUCCAUUCUGCAACUGUAGUUGUCAACAUAUUGCUGCAAAACCUUGGUAUAAGACAGAAUUACAUUACAGAGGUACCAAAUACACUUUCAACUCUCUCCUCACACUCAUCCCUUCUUUCAGCCCUUUCUAGACAAGUCAGGUUGUUGGUUUAACAAUAAAUUCCCUUCCGUAAUGGAAACGCCUGUUCACCAAAACCAGGAGGAGGGUCAAAAGGUCAGACUGGAUGAUGUGUGUUGACCCAUUCGGAUCGAACAACAUGGUUGAACCUGCAUCGCUGACAGGAGAAAUCAGACCCAAACUUAGACGUACAGAACAUUUGAAAUAUAGCAUUUAUCUUGGCCAAGAGGAACUGUAUUUACAAUACUCUGACCUGACAACUGACCCGGAACCUACAGGCUAUGCAACAUGCUCACAGAACCAAACAAAACAAAGUUAAAGUUGCAGUUGUUCUGUGCCAAUACAACCCAGGAAGUACAGCUAAGAGCUUGUACAGGGUGUAGCACAGAAACUGUGGCCCUCAGGGAGUCCUCAGGGACUGUAGGAGCAGCAUUGACGUGGAACACUGUGGACUCUUACAGCCUGACAGCAAAACAAGAUUCCUAUCCCCCGGUGUUCAGGACCUUCCAGUUGUAACCUCAAAAUACAACCUGAGAACAUCAUGUAGCCCCUUUCUCCUCCAAAGCUAUGCCCUGAGGUAAGCCUCCACCUAAUACCAACAAGUGCACCUGAGGGCAAAGUAUUUUUAAAGCCCAGAGAAGAUUCUGAGGUAGAGAGGAGAGGAGAGGAGAGGAGAAGAGAAGAAAAGAGAAGAGAAGAUCUUUUUGGAGGAAAGUGGAUAAGCAGUGGGGGGUGUUGCCUGGAGGAGAGACACUCUGCUGUUACUGAUUGUCCAGUGAAUGGGUCAAUCUAUCGAUAGACUCCUCUGUUUGUUGUAUAUCCACUAACACACAAACUGACACUCACACACACAAAACCACAUUCUCUAAGAAGCUCCAUUUACCCCCUGAAGUUAAGCUGAGGCAGUGGUGAGAAUGUAUUCUCUGGCUUGUCAUCUUUGAAAACACUCUUCCUCUGAGGCUCUGUCAGCAAGUUGUGAUGGAUAACAGGGCAGUAUAUUAUGUGUUUGUGCCUUAAAGGAAGUGCAGACACACACAAGACACCUGUGCACGUUUGGGUAUAGCUGAAAUAGCACGGGCAAUCCCUCGAUGGCAUUACCAAAGUUUGUUAUUUAUUCUGCAGCCCUGCAACAUCAAGAAACUCUGUGAAAGGUGCCACAGUUGAUAUAAAGGAGGAACAAAAAGGAAAUUGCUUUUAGAAUCAGUUCAUGAAAGAUUUAUCAGGAAUCAGGAACAAGACAUCUGGCAAAAGUGCAUAACCUGCUGGAAUGUUGUUUGAGAUUUCCGCAUCUAACACACAUCUGUCAGCCUUUAGAGUGCAGAAAAAGGGAGUUUUUUAAAAGUAAAGCAUUGAAUCCUCGAGAGAGACCUUCAGGCCUGCAUGCACUCAGCUGAGUUUUUGUCUUUUGUGUAACAACGGAAAUACAGCACACAAACAUAUCUCUAUCAUUUCACUUCUUGCAAAUGUAUUUUAUGCAGCAUGUGCAGCAGUUAAAAACACAGCAUUUAUCUUUAAUUGUAUUUCAUUUAACUAUCCAUGUUCUAAUUUCUGGCCAUCCUACAAAUAUACACAUGUGCACUGUGGUAAAAGUAAAGGGAAUGGCUUUAGGUGCAACAGAGAAAAGGGAGAAUUGACGCUGUAGUGUUAUGAGUCAACACAAAUCCUUUAAAUCAACCUACAAUGGCAUAGUAGGUGCUAAUCACCUAUAACAUGAGGUCCACAGCUUUAAUCAGAGAUUGAUCGUGCCUUCAACAAUAUCAAUAGCUCUUAUUGAUAAGGAAGUAGAGGUCACCCUAUAACACAAUAGCAGGGCUCUUGGAUGUUAGGUGUUUAAUAUCCCAAACUAGUGCCAUUUCAACUUUCAUAUAAUGAAUCUACAUGAGCAUUUAGGAGACAUUCUUACAAUCACUAGAGUCUACAGAACAGUGUUUAAAACAAACAAAACAGGUCUUGUAUGUGCUAAGUGGACCAGAGGCCAGUGCCGCAUCAAUUUUUGCAUUUAUUUUCUUUUCCUUUAUGACAUAAAAUAAAAUGUGCAGUACGGCUGUAAAUACUCAUUUUGUUUGAUGCUUUUUUUUCUGACGAGAUAACAUGAUGAAAAGAUUUGUGUCAUAAUAUUCCUGUAGUUAUGCUCUCAAUGAGUUGUUAAAACUGAGCAGGGCAGUGUCUGAACAUUAAGAAUAUUUCAUUAUUUAUCAGCUUUUGACAGGAGCAUUUAUUCAGGAUUUCAGCAGAUAAGCAUCAAAAUAAC
This is a long non-coding RNA of Thunnus maccoyii (southern bluefin tuna), 3002 nucleotides long. RefSeq lists it as uncharacterized. The record is from RefSeq and is a predicted model, not a curated record. Lineage: Eukaryota; Metazoa; Chordata; Actinopteri; Scombriformes; Scombridae. The transcript has 3 exons.